AUGACGUACUUGUACUGAUUGAGAUUUUAACACGAAGUGAGUGGCGAACGGGUGAGUAACACGUGGGUAACCUGCCCAGAAGUAGGGGAUAACACCUGGAAACAGAUGCUAAUACCGUAUAACAGAGAAAACCGCAUGGUUUUCUUUUAAAAGAUGGCUCUGCUAUCACUUCUGGAUGGACCCGCGGCGUAUUAGCUAGUUGGUGAGGUAAAGGCUCACCAAGGCAGUGAUACGUAGCCGACCUGAGAGGGUAAUCGGCCACAUUGGGACUGAGACACGGCCCAGACUCCUACGGGAGGCAGCAGUAGGGAAUCUUCCACAAUGGACGCAAGUCUGAUGGAGCAACGCCGCGUGAGUGAAGAAGGGUUUCGGCUCGUAAAGCUCUGUUGUUAAAGAAGAACGUGGGUAAGAGUAACUGUUUACCCAGUGACGGUAUUUAACCAGAAAGCCACGGCUAACUACGUGCCAGCAGCCGCGGUAAUACGUAGGUGGCAAGCGUUAUCCGGAUUUAUUGGGCGUAAAGCGAGCGCAGGCGGUCUUUUAAGUCUAAUGUGAAAGCCUUCGGCUCAACCGAAGAAGUGCAUUGGAAACUGGGAGACUUGAGUGCAGAAGAGGACAGUGGAACUCCAUGUGUAGCGGUGAAAUGCGUAGAUAUAUGGAAGAACACCAGUGGCGAAGGCGGCUGUCUGGUCUGCAACUGACGCUGAGGCUCGAAAGCAUGGGUAGCGAACAGGAUUAGAUACCCUGGUAGUCCAUGCCGUAAACGAUGAUUACUAAGUGUUGGAGGGUUUCCGCCCUUCAGUGCUGCAGCUAACGCAUUAAGUAAUCCGCCUGGGGAGUACGACCGCAAGGUUGAAACUCAAAAGAAUUGACGGGGGCCCGCACAAGCGGUGGAGCAUGUGGUUUAAUUCGAAGCUACGCGAAGAACCUUACCAGGUCUUGACAUCUUCUGACAGUCUAAGAGAUUAGAGGUUCCCUUCGGGGACAGAAUGACAGGUGGUGCAUGGUUGUCGUCAGCUCGUGUCGUGAGAUGUUGGGUUAAGUCCCGCAACGAGCGCAACCCUUAUUACUAGUUGCCAGCAUUAA
RNAcentral lists this ribosomal RNA (1086 nucleotides) under Pediococcus pentosaceus. RNAcentral's name for it is "bacterial SSU rRNA". It matches the Rfam family "Bacterial small subunit ribosomal RNA", at positions 59 to 1127 of the family's 1533-position model. The record is from RNAcentral. Lineage: Bacteria; Bacillati; Bacillota; Bacilli; Lactobacillales; Lactobacillaceae.